This 80-nucleotide transfer RNA is filed under the name Plutella xylostella (diamondback moth). RNAcentral describes it as "tRNA-Glu". The stretch from base 3 to 71 matches the Rfam family "tRNA". Rfam says of the family: Transfer RNA (tRNA) molecules are approximately 80 nucleotides in length. Their secondary structure includes four short double-helical elements and three loops (D, anti-codon, and T loops). Lineage: Eukaryota; Metazoa; Arthropoda; Insecta; Lepidoptera; Plutellidae. The record is from RNAcentral.
GCGGUGGUAGCUCAGUCAGGUAAGCGCCCGCUUCUCACGCAAGAGAUGCGGGUUCGAAUCCCGCAUCACCUUGAGUAGCU